GUCUACGGCUGUGCCGCCCUGAACACGCCCGAUCUUGUCUGAUCUCGGAAGCUAAGCAGGGUUGGGCCUGGUUAGUACUUGGAUGGGAGACAGUAUCCUACAGCACCUAGGAGGACCAGGUGCUGUAGGUG
This is a ribosomal RNA of Pteropus vampyrus (large flying fox), 131 nucleotides long. Lineage: Eukaryota; Metazoa; Chordata; Mammalia; Chiroptera; Pteropodidae. The record is from Ensembl.